GACGAACGCUGGCGGCGUGCUUAACACAUGCAAGUCGAACGCUGAACCCGCUUCGGUGGGGGAUGAGUGGCGAACGGGUGCGUAACACGUGGGCAACCUGCCCCCGGCUCUGGGAUAACUCCAAGAAAUUGGGGCUAAUACCGGAUGUGACCGCUGGCCGCAUGGUCUGGUGGUGGAAAGGGUUUCCGGCUGGGGAUGGGCCCGCGGCCUAUCAGCUUGUUGGUGGGGUAGUGGCCUACCAAGGCGACGACGGGUAGCCGGCCUGAGAGGGUGACCGGCCACACUGGGACUGAGACACGGCCCAGACUCCUACGGGAGGCGGCAGUGGGGAAUAUUGCGCAAUGGGCGGAAGCCUGACGCAGCGACGCCGCGUGGGGGAUGACGGCCUUCGGGUUGUAAACCUCUUUCAGCAGGGACGAAGCGCAAGUGACGGUACCUGCAGAAGAAGCACCGGCCAACUACGUG
This 465-nucleotide ribosomal RNA is filed under the name uncultured bacterium. RNAcentral's name for it is "partial 16S ribosomal RNA". It matches the Rfam family "Bacterial small subunit ribosomal RNA", at positions 28 to 507 of the family's 1533-position model. The record is from RNAcentral.